UCCGGUCAAAAGCAUGCCCAAAUUGACAUUAUGCAAUUUUUGCACAUUGAAAACAGAAGGGCUGGCCUUAAAGGAAACCUCCGGUACAUAACAAGGCACUGGCCCAGUUGCAAAAUCCAAUGCUAAAUCCCACACAAAAACUUAGAAUUAUACACAAUCUAUUAAAUGCUUAUCAGCUAAAACUAUUUGGAACACAUGAUUGAACUAACAUUGUCUUUUCUGAGCAAUUAAAACUGCAUUUUUUUCUAAUCUUGCUCGCACCUUAGGCCCAAGUCAGCAUUAGACGCACAAGCCACAUCACAAGGAAAAUAAACAUUAGGCCCAAAAGAGCCCAAAUCAGAUUUUAAGGUCAAACUGGUUGAGGUUUAGGACUCAAGAUCGAGUCUCCUCAGAAGCAGACAACAUAUGUCUAACCUUUCCUUCAUGGCAGUAAACCAAGUUUCAAAUUACAAGGUUUUAAAAUCUCAUUUCAAGAUAUCAAACAUUACACUGAAUGAUGCCAAAAAUUAAAUAGAACUAGUAGGCAAAUCAGCUAUCCUCGACAUGAGCUUAUAAUCACAUUUCACAUAACAACCACUUCUGAACAACACCUCACAAUGCUUUUAAGUAACAUACUACACAUCAUUUACUUAGCCAUUAACCUAUAUUUUCCAUGAUACCUAGUUCUACAUUAGAUCACUAUCAAGCAAUAUAAAACUGAGGUGUUUAUCCAACACUAAAGAAAACUGAACAACAUGCUUUUGACCAAGUCUUCAUCCAUAUCGUGUCAUAGUGCCAGAUUAAAUGCAAGAAAGCAAAUUGCAUCAGCCUAAGCCAGAAAUUAAUUAGGAAGAUCAUGAACUAAAGCUAUAAAACACUAUACAACAAAGUGAUAAAGAUGAAUUCAUAAUAGAAGCUGAAAACAUGUUUUGAACUUUAAAAUUUCAUUUUUUAUUCAACUCAAGCUUCACAUGAGGUAGAAUGCAGAAGUGUACCUGAAUAACAACAAAAUGAAUCAUAAAUCUAGUCUAAAACUAGGAGGAAGGCAACAGUACCAGAAAUCAUCAAUGCAACAGUAACACCAACCAAAACCCACACUCCAAAAUUCAAAACCAAACUCUUAAUCCAGCAACGGAACAGUAGAACCACAAUAAAAUUCAAACCAAACUCUAUAAUACAAUAGCUCAAACCAUUUUUAACCCAGAAUGCAAACCAUGAACUUUCAGUGAAUUGAACCAAAUUAUUAGGACCAGAUGAACAAGAAUCCAAUUAGAAGUUUUUGUAGUUUUUCAGAAAAAUUCUAGGAAUUCAAGAUUGUUUCAAAAAAAAUUUAAAGAAGAAGCAGCGUUUCAGUUUUUUAUGAUUUCUAUCUCUUAAAACCUGCCUUGCUAAAGAAGAAAUGCUUCCUUUAUAGGCAAGCUUUUAGCACAGCCCAAGGACAUCAGAUUUUGCAUAUUAAACCUUUUUGAAUUUUUAAUUUUGCUCAAGUACCCUUAGUCCAAAAUCAAUAUUUUCAGAAUCAGCCCAAAACUACCUUCCAGGAAACUUCCCCAGUCGGUUAUACAAGAUUCCCUUACCCAAAUUCCCUAAACUACCCCUUAAACCCCCUGUUUUUACCCCAACCUACCACAUAGGUCAAUUAUGACCCAAGACUCAAACCACAAUGAGCUGGCUUCUCGUAAAAAUGGGUCAAAAAUGAACCCAAGGCCCAAAACAGCUGAAAUCCAUUUAGUAAUUCAUGAGAAGCAAAAGAAGAAACCAAUUAAAUGAUUUCAAAACUAUAGUUAUCUACAUAACUGCUUAGUUACACAAAUAAGCAUAGAAUGAACGAGGUUAUUAAAUCAAAACGGCCUAAUUAAAAUUGACUAUAAAACUAAAACAAGAAAGACAAAAAUCAGAAUUUUAACAUUUCAUGAAUAAAAGCUAGCAUGCCAACAAAAAACAGAGAACAAGCUUCUAAGAUUUGAAAAGAAAAAUGAAAACUCAGCGGGACAAAUACGAACAUAAAAUUAAUAUAAAGGGAAAACCUAGGUUCAGAACCUUGCUCGAAUUUCAGUAAAAGUAAAAACUAACUUAAGAAAGGGAUUUAAAAAGAAGAGGAAUAAGAAGUGAAUCAAACAAAAACGGAUAGUAAAAGAAGCAGAAAACUUACCAAGUCAGAAAAUCAGAACCUACUGGAAACAAGUGACUUAACAAAACUAACUUCGAUCAUUUGUUCUUUGUCAUGAACAACUGAACGACAUCAGUUUAUCUUGAAUAAAAACUUCAAAGCUCAAAAGAAACAACACCCUAUGACCAUGCAUGCCACCGAGCUCGAUGGAAAAUGAUCCUAGACUUUUAGGGUUCGAACCCAGAUGUAAGAUUGGAGAAGUUCUGGGCAUAUUCGAGGGAAAGUAAUUAGGGAUUUGGCAUGAGGAGGUGAAGGGGGUUCUGUGGUGUGGAUUUGGGGUAGUUUGGUAGUGGCGUUGUCGGCUUGCGGCAGUGGAAAAUUAGGGCGGUGCUAAGGUUUUGAGAUGAGGAAGACGAAGUGAGAUAGGGUAUUUGAGAACUGACAUGGUCUCUAAAGAUUUCAGAUAUUCUUAUGUGUUUGAGGAAGGGCCUUAAUCGCCGUUCCAUGGAAGGAAAUGGAAGGCUCAAAUUGAGCUGGAGCUGGGAACGUCAAACGACGUUAUUUGGAUUACUGAUGGGGCAGACCAGGUGAAGGAACG
This 2687-nucleotide long non-coding RNA is filed under the name Nicotiana benthamiana. RNAcentral's name for it is "long non-coding RNA (NBEN_LNC024667)". Lineage: Eukaryota; Viridiplantae; Streptophyta; Magnoliopsida; Solanales; Solanaceae. The record is from RNAcentral.